This 224-nucleotide unclassified non-coding RNA is filed under the name Taraxacum mongolicum. Its description in RNAcentral is "partial internal transcribed spacer 2". Lineage: Eukaryota; Viridiplantae; Streptophyta; Magnoliopsida; Asterales; Asteraceae. The record is from RNAcentral.
AUCGCGUCGCCCCCCAUCAUACUUCCCUUAAGGGUAGUCGUGGUGAUUGGGAGCGGAGAUUGGCUUCCCGUGCUUGUUGUGCGGUUGGUCAAAAUAGGAGUCCCCUUCGGUGGACACACGGCUAGUGGUGGUUGUAAAGACCCUUUUCUUCUGCUGUGUGUUGUGAGCUGCUAGGGAAACCCUCAAAAAAGAACCCAAUGUAUCGUUCUAGGACGAUGCUUCGA